GUUCGCUACAAAAGAUGCUAAGAUCUUUGACAAACCUGAGGAUUUUAUUGCUGAGAGGUUUAUUGGCGAUGGAGAGAAGCUGUUGAAACAUGUGUUUUGGUCCAAUGGACGUGAGACUGAUGAGGCUACACCUGAUAAUAAAAUCUGUCCUGCUAAGAAUCUGGUGGUGCUCUUGUGUAGGUUGUAUUUGGUGGAAUUCUUCUUGAAUUAUGAUACUUUUACCUUUGAUUUUAAACCAUCUGUUUUGGGUCCCACUAUUACCAUCAAGUCACUUGUUAAGGCUUCAUCCACCGUCUGAUCAGUGAUCAUCAUUGAUCCUUACAAGACCUACCUGCAUUUCUAUGGAUUGAGUAAUGUUUUUUUAUGUUAUGUUAAUGUUAAUCAUGUAGUUACAUUAAAUAAAGUUCUUUUUCUGGGUGGGAACUGCACUUAUUGGUAUUGGAAGGAUCGCUGGGUUUGUUUAAUUUAUUUAUUGCUUUGU
Molecule: long non-coding RNA, 481 nt
Filed under: Medicago truncatula (barrel medic)
Lineage: Eukaryota; Viridiplantae; Streptophyta; Magnoliopsida; Fabales; Fabaceae
Description: long non-coding RNA (MTRU_LNC001973)
Source: RNAcentral